Molecule: ribosomal RNA, 395 nt
Filed under: uncultured fungus
Lineage: Eukaryota; Fungi
Description: partial small subunit ribosomal RNA
Rfam family: Eukaryotic small subunit ribosomal RNA
Source: RNAcentral
GCUUGUCUCAAAGAUUAAGCCAUGCAUGUCUAAGUAUAAACAACUUUAUACUGUAAAACUGCGAACGGCUCAUUAUAUCAGCAAUAAUUUAUUUGAUGGUUUCUUACCCCAUGGAUAACUGUGGUAAUUCUAGAGCUAAUACAUGCGUAAAGUCCCGACUCUUUCUGGGGAGGGAUGUAUUUAUUAGAUACAAUCAACCCUUCGGGUUUUGAUGAGUCAUAAUAACUGAACUAAGCGCAUGCUUUGGCGGCGCUGUUUCAUUCAAGUUUCUGCCCUAUCAGCUUUCGAUGGUAGGGUAUUGGCCUACCAUGGCGUUCACGGGUAACGGAGAAUUAGGGUUCGAUUCCGGAGAGGGAGCCUGAGAGAUGGCUACCACAUCCAAGGAAGGCAGCAGG